AUUGUUCUCGACUUCUUAUUCCUUUCUUCGCAAGUCUCUUCUUCAGAAAUUUGUUGAGUUUGAUAUCUGCAACUCCUUUUUCUGGUUGUAGGUUUUGGAACCAAACAUGUUUGAUCAAUCUCCAUAUUGGAAAAGGAUUGAAGUUGUGACAAUUGUUCUUGAGUGUAAAAGUGAGGAGCUAGAAUGGAAACAAUAACAUUCAAGUGAUUUAGCUUUAUAGGUACCGAAGAAAUACUCUCACAUAACCCAUCUUUCAUUUUUGCUAACAAAUCCUUAAUCUCUUUCAUUCGUUCACUCAUCUUCAGAAUUAUGGAACUAACAACUCUUACUUCAGAAUUAUGUGACAAGUCAACAGGAACUGGUUACUAUAUAUAGGUUGUAAAUUAGAUUAGAUUUGAUUAGAUGUGGAGUAAAUAGAUUCAAUUUGAUUUGAUUGUUAAAUAGAUACAAUAUGGAUAUUUAAUAAUAUUUUCAAGUAAGAUAAGAUGAUUCUUU
RNAcentral lists this long non-coding RNA (495 nucleotides) under Lupinus angustifolius (narrow-leaved blue lupine). Its description in RNAcentral is "long non-coding RNA (LANG_LNC001089)". Lineage: Eukaryota; Viridiplantae; Streptophyta; Magnoliopsida; Fabales; Fabaceae. The record is from RNAcentral.